This 295-nucleotide long non-coding RNA is filed under the name Cavia porcellus (domestic guinea pig). RNAcentral's name for it is "lncRNA (ENSCPOG00000038933.1)". The record is from RNAcentral. Lineage: Eukaryota; Metazoa; Chordata; Mammalia; Rodentia; Caviidae.
CCGGCCCGGGCUUAAAAUACCCAAAUUACUCAGCGCUAAAUAUAGUUCCGGCUGCGAGCACCCGGCUUGCUGCGCUUGGAAGCCCGUGGGGGGUCCCACCAGCACCCUGGAGAGGGUCCCCACGGCCAGCACAGCUCCGGGGACAGAGGCUCCUGGCCAGCAGGGUGCAUUCCGCACAUACAACACAACGGAAAGCCAAGGCCACUGACCCAGGACCGGCAGGCCGGGAGGGGAUCUCUUUCAGCGCUCACCACCGUCGCAGGGUCCCACUCAGAAGCCAAGAAACCAAAGUCAA